UAGACUGUGAGUUGCGAACGGGUGAGUAACGCGUAGGUAACCUGCCUGGUAGCGGGGGAUAACUAUUGGAAACGAUAGCUAAUACCGCAUAAUAUUAAUUAUUGCAUGAUAAUUGAUUGAAAGAUGCAACUGCAUCACUACCAGAUGGACCUGCGUUGUAUUAGCUAGUAGGUGAGGUAACGGCUCACCUAGGCGACGAUACAUAGCCGACCUGAGAGGGUGAUCGGCCACACUGGGACUGAGACACGGCCCAGACUCCUACGGGAGGCAGCAGUAGGGAAUCUUCGGCAAUGGACGAAAGUCUGACCGAGCAACGCCGCGUGAGUGAAGAAGGUUUUCGGAUCGUAAAGCUCUGUUGUAAGAGAAGAACGGGUGUGAGAGUGGAAAGUUCACACUGUGACGGUAUCUUACCAGAAAGGGACGGCUAACUACGUGCCAGCAGCCGCGGUAAUACGUAGGUCCCGAGCGUUGUCCGGAUUUAUUGGGCGUAAAGCGAGCGCAGGCGGUUAGAUAAGUCUGAAGUUAAAGGCUGUGGCUUAACCAUAGUACGCUUUGGAAACUGUUUAACUUGAGUGCAGAAGGGGAGAGUGGAAUUCCAUGUGUAGCGGUGAAAUGCGUAGAUAUAUGGAGGAACACCGGUGGCGAAAGCGGCUCUCUGGUCUGUAACUGACGCUGAGGCUCGAAAGCGUGGGGAGCGAACAGGAUUAGAUACCCUGGUAGUCCACGCCGUAAACGAUGAGUGCUAGGUGUUAGGCCCUUUCCGGGGCUUAGUGCCGCAGCUAACGCAUUAAGCACUCCGCCUGGGGAGUACGACCGCAAGGUUGAAACUCAAAGGAAUUGACGGGGGC
This 848-nucleotide ribosomal RNA is filed under the name Streptococcus gordonii. Its description in RNAcentral is "bacterial SSU rRNA". It matches the Rfam family "Bacterial small subunit ribosomal RNA", at positions 85 to 920 of the family's 1533-position model. The record is from RNAcentral. Lineage: Bacteria; Bacillati; Bacillota; Bacilli; Lactobacillales; Streptococcaceae.